UGGGGUGUGCGUGUGUAAGGUGCCCGACGGCGUUAGUGCCUAGGGUUAAACGGGAAACAGGUGCGUGACCGGCUCUCAUGCCGGUGCGACAAGGCCUGUGCUGCCCCCGCAACGGUAAGUGGACGCAAGGCGCAUCCAACCGCCACUGGACGGACGUCCGGGAAGGCGAUGCGACCGGUCCGGCGCUCGCGACGAGCGACGGCCAGCCCACGAGCCCGGAUACCGGCCUCGACACGCGAUGGCGG
This 245-nucleotide non-coding RNA is filed under the name Azoarcus sp. Lineage: Bacteria; Pseudomonadati; Pseudomonadota; Betaproteobacteria; Rhodocyclales; Zoogloeaceae. The record is from RNAcentral.